Pelobates cultripes (western spadefoot toad) is the source of this 210-nucleotide non-coding RNA. The record is from the annotation of a GenBank genome assembly. Lineage: Eukaryota; Metazoa; Chordata; Amphibia; Anura; Pelobatidae.
GUCAUCUCGUGGUGCCUGACACCCACAGGAGCUUCCGAUGGUCAGUGUCUAGGCCUUCAGAGUCGUCUUGUGGCUUCCUCUCGUAGUGGCUGGGGGGCCGUUGGUGGGGUGGCAGGUUGGCGGUCGGGGUAGCCGAAUGGGAGGUAGGGGGCCUGGUUCAUAGGAGACCGUUAUUCUUCAUGGCUGUCCGGGCCACCCCGCCGGAACCCG